AGCGAACGCUGGCGGCAGGCCUAAAACAUGCAAGUCGAACGAGCCCUUCGGGGUUAGUGGCGGACGGGUGAGUAACACGUGAGAACGUGCCUUUUGGUUCGGAACAACUCAGGGAAACUUGAGCUAAUACCGAAUGUGCCCUUCGGGGGAAAGAUUUAUCGCCAUAAGAGCGACCCGCGUCUGAUUAGCUAGUUGGUGGG
RNAcentral lists this ribosomal RNA (200 nucleotides) under uncultured bacterium. RNAcentral's name for it is "partial 16S ribosomal RNA". It matches the Rfam family "Bacterial small subunit ribosomal RNA", at positions 29 to 256 of the family's 1533-position model. The record is from RNAcentral.